RNAcentral lists this ribosomal RNA (608 nucleotides) under Pleurotus ostreatus (oyster mushroom). RNAcentral's name for it is "eukaryotic LSU rRNA". The stretch from base 250 to 403 matches the Rfam family "5.8S ribosomal RNA". The record is from RNAcentral. Lineage: Eukaryota; Fungi; Basidiomycota; Agaricomycetes; Agaricales; Pleurotaceae.
UGCGGAAGGAUCAUUAAUGAAUUCACUAUGGAGUUGUUGCUGGCCUCUAGGGGCAUGUGCACGCUUCACUAGUCUUUCAACCACCUGUGAACUUUUGAUAGAUCUGUGAAGUCGUCUUUCAAGUCGUCAGACUUGGUUUGCUGGGAUUUAAACGUCUCGGUGUGACAACGCAGUCUAUUUACUUAACACACCCCAAAUGUAUGUCUACGAAUGUCAUUUAAUGGGCCUUGUGCCUAUAAACCAUAAUACAACUUUCAACAACGGAUCUCUUGGCUCUCGCAUCGAUGAAGAACGCAGCGAAAUGCGAUAAGUAAUGUGAAUUGCAGAAUUCAGUGAAUCAUCGAAUCUUUGAACGCACCUUGCGCCCCUUGGUAUUCCGAGGGGCAUGCCUGUUUGAGUGUCAUUAAAUUCUCAAACUCACUUUGGUUUUUUCCAAUUGUGAUGUUUGGAUUGUUGGGGGCUGCUGGCCUUGACAGGUCGGCUCCUCUUAAAUGCAUUAGCAGGACUUCUCAUUGCCUCUGCGCAUGAUGUGAUAAUUAUCACUCAUCAAUAGCACGCAUGAAUAGAGUCCAGCUCUCUAAUCGUCCGCAAGGACAAUUUGACAAUUG